This 475-nucleotide ribosomal RNA is filed under the name Insulasaurus victoria. RNAcentral describes it as "partial 16S ribosomal RNA". It matches the Rfam family "Bacterial large subunit ribosomal RNA", at positions 1922 to 2597 of the family's 2925-position model. Lineage: Eukaryota; Metazoa; Chordata; Lepidosauria; Squamata; Scincidae. The record is from RNAcentral.
UUUUAACGGCCGCGGUAUUCUAACCGUGCAAAGGUAGCGUAAUCACUUGUCUUCUAAAUAAAGACCAGUAUGAAUGGCUAAAUGAGGACUAGACUGUCUCCUGCACCCAAUCAGUGAAACUGAUCUCCCAGUUCAAAAGCUGGAAUAUCCCCACAAGACGAGAAGACCCUGUGGAGCUUAAAACCUUCUACUAAUAAACAGAUGGUAACUAGUAUUAGUUUUAAGUUGGGGCGACUUCGGAACAAAACAAGACUUCCGAGCACAGAACCACCAAUUCCAAGCCUAGGCCAACAAGCCAAGACAUGAAAUUGACCCAGUCAUACUGACCAACGAACCAAGUUACCCCAGGGAUAACAGCGCCAUCUUCUUCAAGAGUCCCUAUCGACAAGAAGGUUUACGACCUCGAUGUUGGAUCAGGACACCCAAAUGGUGUAGCCGCUAUUAAAGGUUCGUUUGUUCAACGAUUAACAGUCCU